CUAUUCGAGAAAUCCUGAAUUUACGAGGGAGUUUAGUGAUCUCAUGAAGAUUUUUGUUCCUACAAAAUUUCAUAAAUUUUUUAAGAAAUUACGUAAACUGUUAUAUAUUUUAAACAAAGCAAAGCACUUUUACUUUGUACUGUUUUUUUCUUUCCCUAGUGUCAUACUGUCAGUUUUGAUGGUCCACGAGAAGAGAAGAUCGAUUGUAUUUAAAAUGUUGCUAUCUUCUUUGUGAAAACGGAAAAACACUUCGCAAAUUUCGCAACACUAUUAAGAAUGCGGUAACUGCGGAAAGUAUAUAUUUCGCAGUUCAAUUAAUUUCGACAUCGAUUCGAUAUAUGUAAAACGAUAAUACUGUUGGUAAGAAAUUUCCUUUUCUCCGUCGUUCCGCAGCAAAAAACGCAAAAGGGAUCAAAUUACAAAUACUAUGUCUGCUUUAUACUUUAUUGUCAAGCGUUAUUCGACAACCACGCGUUAUAUUGCCCACUCCUACUAAUCUGAUAUGAACAGUAACUACACGAAAAUCUGUCCUAUUUGCGAUAGUGUGUUAUCAAUCAGAUCUUUAUCAUAUUCAUGUGCACGGUACAUUUGCACAACGGGGUCAAUGUCCUCAAGAUACGUAUGUAAGUAUGUCUUUUGACAAUGUCAAGAUCAAGAACAAUUUUCUACGGUCAUAAAAAAAAUGUAAGCUUACAUUCGCAUAUGUUUUCAGGAUAGCGAUGCAAAUGAGUUUUCGAAUGACAAGAAAGAAAAUUAUGGGAUGGAUCAAAAUGUGGAGCGAUCAGGCCGACGAUUUAUCGAAGAGUAACUGUUAUUGACUGAUUAUGUCAAUAGAUUACCCAUACACAUUUCAAAUAUUGAAAUAAAGACUGGAAUGAUUUGAUUAUAUGAACUACAGCGAUGCUUAUAUAUUCAAAUGGAAAGUGUUAUUUCAGGGAUCAAGAAACCAUCUGCGUGAAGCAUGGAACUCUUCAAACGAAAAUGCAAUCGUAAACAGUGCCGAAGACCGUCCACUCUCGGUUUAUACAUCUUAAAACACCACAUAAUCACGUAGCACCUCAGCUACGUGUUAAAUCUGGUUUGCUACUGUAGGUGGCUACGUGAUCGUACAGUGUCAGAAAUUUAGAGACCUACAGUUCCCAGAAUUUUUUUAGGGCCGUUGCACUUCGCACGUAUCGCGCAUUCCUUUCAAUAGCAAUAGCGAAUUACACAAUUUUUCUUCUUUCUAUACAUUCCUGCCUUUUCAUGUAACAGCAGUUUAUUAUACGAAUAGAUAUUGACA
Molecule: long non-coding RNA, 1282 nt
Organism: Megachile rotundata (alfalfa leafcutting bee)
Lineage: Eukaryota; Metazoa; Arthropoda; Insecta; Hymenoptera; Megachilidae
Source: RefSeq, a predicted model, not a curated record